This 459-nucleotide ribosomal RNA is filed under the name uncultured bacterium. RNAcentral describes it as "partial 16S ribosomal RNA". It matches the Rfam family "Bacterial small subunit ribosomal RNA", at positions 338 to 795 of the family's 1533-position model. The record is from RNAcentral.
CCUACGGGAGGCAGCAGUGAGGAAUAUUGGUCAAUGGACGAGAGUCUGAACCAGCCAAGUAGCGUGAAGGAUGACUGCCCUAUGGGUUGUAAACUUCUUUUAUAAAGGAAUAAAACGAGGCACGUGUGCCUUUUUGCAUGUACUUUAUGAAUAAGGAUCGGCUAACUCCGUGCCAGCAGCCGCGGUAAUACGGAGGAUCCGAGCGUUAUCCGGAUUUAUUGGGUUUAAAGGGAGCGUAGAUGGGUUGUUAAGUCAGUUGUGAAAGUUUGCGGCUCAACCGUAAAAUUGCAAUUGAUACUGGCAGUCGUGAGUACAGUUGAGGUAGGCGGAAUUCGUGGUGUAGCGGUGAAAUGCUUAGAUAUCACGAAGAACCCCGAUUGCGAAGGCAGCUUACUAAACUGUGACUGACAUUGAUGCUCGAAAGUGUGGGUAUCAAACAGGAUUAGAUCCCGAGUAGUC